RNAcentral lists this long non-coding RNA (2105 nucleotides) under Selaginella moellendorffii. Its description in RNAcentral is "long non-coding RNA (SMOE_LNC002137)". The record is from RNAcentral. Lineage: Eukaryota; Viridiplantae; Streptophyta; Lycopodiopsida; Selaginellales; Selaginellaceae.
CCAAGUUAACUUCGUAAACGAUGUUCCGGAAAGCCAGUGACAACGGCAAGGAAGGUAGGAGAACUUCUCCAACACCUCCAUCUUCGAUAUCCUCAGCUGCAAAAAAGUUGUAAGUGUAUUUUUUGUGCUUUCAUGUCCUUUGAGCUGAAGUCACCAACUCACCUUUUUUUCUUGCAGUUGCCUCGCUACUGUUGCUGUAAAUUGCGGUGCAAGGUUUUCUCAGAGCUGUCACAAGACCUGGUAAGUUUUCUCGCCACCAAUAACUUGUCCGUCUAUCACUUACGGUUAAGGUAUGUAAGUGCUAGAACGUAGAGUGCAUUGAACACCAGUGUUGAGAUAACCAGUCCUGCGAGUCCAAUCCAGUACCAUUCUGGAUUUGGAAACAUUCCUCGGGUCUUUAGCAAAACCUCCCCAACUGUGUGUGAAGUUCCAGUUCCAAAUGUUGGCUGCAUGUGUUUUCAGACAAUUAUCCAUUGUAGAUUGGUGCUUUCGUACCUUGCUCCACCGUUGCGCAUAGAACUCAUUGACAGCUAAAGCGUUCUGGCCAUACAUGUAAGGAGAUGUCCAGUAGCUCCAUAGCCACCAUGGUUGGAUGUUUUCUGGAGAGUCGUUUCUUAAAUACUAACCUUUAGUUUUCUUGCAGGAAGUACCUCUUGAUUUCAAAUAGCCUCCAUUUGCCACCGUUGUUAUGAAGAAGAAGAAACCGAACGUACUCGUAAUUGUUGGACUUCGAGCGAUGGCUCCAAUGCACCGAAACAUGGCGAACGAAGCUUGGUUCACCAAGAACAGUAGCACAAAGUGCUUGAAAAAUCUGUGAGUAGUCUCUUUAUCCCGCACUUUAGGACCAUAGGAAACUGACUUACCUGGUAAACUCGGGAGCAAACCCAACUCCCCAGUAUGUAAUGCAGGUCCAGAUUGCCACGUCCAUGAAACUCAUCGGGAUCCUGAAAAAUAUCGUUGGCAAUGCCCAAGACCAAGCGGGAUAAAACUGCGAAUCUCGUUGCUUGUAAAAGGCUUGAAGUCUCGUGAUUGUGAGUGUCAUCUCAGGUAAUCCACGGUACAUGAUAUUCAUGAUCAUGUAGAACAGAACACCCAUAAAUUUGUUUGCAUCUUGGACGGUCUCAUGAUGCAUUGUUGUUCGCAGGAAUAUGGUCGAGACAAUCACCGCUAUAAUCGAGCCCUUUAAAAAAUAAUGGUGUUGGUUUCCUUUUUAUUAAAAAGGUGAGACUCACCUGAAUUACGUUGCUAGUCACAUGAACGUAGAGAUUACGUUUUAUCAGUAUGAUUUCUCUUGAGCAGCAGGCCAGAAACAGCUUCCAGGAACUCAUCUUUGGUUCCUUUUUCCCUGCAGGAUAAACUUUCUUCAAGUCCUUGAGCGUGAAUUCAUCAGCCCGGUAUCGUUGAAAAGCAGCAGCAAAAUCUUUUCCCGAUACAAACCGGUAAGCUUCUUUAUCACCGCACCAAUAACCUUUUUGAUCUUUUCUUGACACUACCUGCAUUUCCCAAGACUUUAGAGGAACAUGAAUGUGUUGUAUACGACUGACCUCUUGUAAAUAAUCUGCUACUCCUUUUCUUGCAGGACAUUUGAAGCCUUGGGCCUCAAGAAAUUGUAGAACACCUUCUCGAGUUCCAUGGUAUACUAUAUGUCCUUCCGCAAGGAGUAUAAGAUCGUCAAACAGCUCGAAAACCUCUGGGGGUGGUUGCAGCAGCGAGAUCAGCAUCGUUUUGCUCAAAGCUUUCACGGUUUGCUGCAGGAAACUGAUCAUUCGGUACGUGGUGGAGCUGUCCAGUCCCGUAGAAAUUUCAUCCAUGAACAAAAUUCUUGCGGGACCAGCCAGCACUUCUCCUGUAAGUGAUUGUUCAUGGUUAAUAUUAAAGUUUUUGGUUAUUGGUGAUGCUGACCUGCUGUGAGUCUCCUUUUCUGUCCUCCAGAUAUUCCUCGCUGAAGAGCAUUGCCUACGAUUGUAUCGGCGCAAGUGUCCAUGCCAAGAACCUGAUUCCAUAUCUCGCUCGAGUUUGAGAACCUUGAAAGGGUUAUAAUGGACAGAACAAACCUGGAUCAUGUAUUCGCACAUGAUGCUGGGCUUUGCAUCGUCACCAGCAGC